UUUCAAGUUGUUAUUCAUCGCCAAGUAAGAAUUUGCAGUUGUCUUACUCCACUUUAAUACUCAAUUACGCUGUGCUUUUAAUUGAAAAGAAGGAUCAAGAAGGUCAAUCUCAAGUUCUUUCAGCAGCUCUUGUGAUGCUUGAUGGUCUUGUGAGAAAAAUUGCCUUGGACCUUGAUGUUGAGGACAUUGCCAAAGCGGCAAAGGCCUCUAAAGACGCCAAAAUUGCUGAAGUUGGGGUUGACAUUGAACUGUUAACUAAACAGAGCUGAAUCUCUCAAGUCCCUGGUUUGAAUAAAUAAUGACAGCUUAAAGUGAAUCUAAAAUAGAAGAUGAACCUUAGAGCAUCCACACUGGUAGCAGGAAAGUUGAUGUUUCCUUUAGAGCAUCCACACUGGUAGCAGUAAAUAGCUAUAUUGCUACUUUAGCACCACCA
This is a long non-coding RNA of Quercus robur (English oak), 433 nucleotides long. RefSeq lists it as uncharacterized. The transcript is spliced from 4 exons. NCBI's taxonomy places the organism in Eukaryota, Viridiplantae, Streptophyta, Magnoliopsida, Fagales, Fagaceae. The record is from RefSeq and is a predicted model, not a curated record.